CUUAUCUUUUACUUAGCUAUAUCUGCACAGAAUAAGUACAAGAUGCUUUCAGGCAAAAAUGUCCCUUAAUUUACAUCACUUGUGUCUUUUCUUGCCUUGUGCAUUCCAACUAUAUACACAUAUCUGUUCUCAGAUGAGGAACAAUGCACUGAGAUUACACUGUGCUGCAUAGCAAGCAGAUUUUUCUCUUGAAAUGAAAUGUUGACAUACUGGAUGAGUAGACAUGUAGCCCUUUCCUACAGGAUGUGGCUGGGUCAAGGUUUUAGUGUGAUUCAACUAGGUACUGGAGAUGUAUUGACUGAAAUAAAAUUGCAUUGGCUAAGUAUCCAAUGUUAACAUAUAUGACAAUAAUGAAGAAUCUAUUUGUGGAUGAUAAAAAUACACCUAAAAUAAUCUUAUGAUUGCAGGAUGACAUUUCAAAGGGAGACAGAAAUAGUUUUUUCUUCAUCUAUCUAUGCUGAAGCUUGUCCAUUUUAAACUUCUGCUGUCAGCAGCCCUGCUGGAGAUAGAAUGAUAACAUUCAUGGGUCUCAUCUGAUCCAGCAUGUGAACAUGUUUAUGAAGCAGCAGUAUCAGAAACAAUAAGGACAAAGACCUCCUUUAGAUAAAUAUCAGAGCCUUAGGCAUCAAGACCACAGUUAAAAUACAGAGGAAAAUAAAAUAAAAAUAGAAAGGUUCACUGUAAGUGAUGCUCAAACACUGGAAGUUUCUCUGAGUUCCAAAGGCUUGAGGAUGAACAAUGGUUCCAGAACUCCUUACUGUGAUCUUCCUGCCACAGUUCUUACCUCUUGUUAGUUACCAGCAUCCCUACCUGACAACAAGGAAUGUCGCUCUGGAGUUCACACUCCCCAAUGACACCUAGUGCAGAGAGCAGGAGAUCUGCAGGAAGAGAAAAAGGCAUCCAAGGAGCUAAAAAUGUCCCCAUAGGUGCUAACAGGAAGUUUCUCUUCAUUUCUGUUACACUUCUAAGUAGGCUGAGAGACAAGACACUUCCACACAUUCACACAGAGAAAACAGCCUCCAUUCAACUAUUGCUUUAAUUCCUUGCUGUUAGAAAGUGUUAUGCGGAGUCAUCUGUCAGAAGAAGGAAUGGUCAGAUUAGUGAAGUUCCCAUUUCCUUAACACUGACAUCACAGAACUUGUAAGUCUUAUAAAACAUAUAGGUCAUAGAGUUUGCAAUUGAGGAAUGAUCAGUUUCAUCUCUACUUUUAAAACUGUGGUCUUUGUAAUAUUUUGGUGCUUUAAGAGAGGUAAGUUUUCUUCCUUCCUCCCUCCAGAACCUUCAAAAAAUAAAAAUUAAUCUUAUGUAUUGUCA
This 1314-nucleotide long non-coding RNA is filed under the name Anas platyrhynchos platyrhynchos (common mallard). Its description in RNAcentral is "lncRNA (ENSAPLG00000031054.1)". The record is from RNAcentral. Lineage: Eukaryota; Metazoa; Chordata; Aves; Anseriformes; Anatidae.